UGCCAGCAGCCGCGGUAAUACGGAGGGUGCGAGCGUUAAUCGGAAUUACUGGGCGUAAAGCGUACGCAGGCGGUUUGUUAAGCGAGAUGUGAAAGCCCCGGGCUCAACCUGGGAACUGCAUUUCGAACUGGCAAACUAGAGUGUGAUAGAGGGUGGUAGAAUUUCAGGUGUAGCGGUGAAAUGCGUAGAGAUCUGAAGGAAUACCGAUGGCGAAGGCAGCCACCUGGGUCAACACUGACGCUCAUGUACGAAAGCGUGGGGAGCAGACGGGAUUAGAUACCCCGGUAGUCCACGCCGUAAACGAUGUCUACUAGAAGCUCGGAACCUCGGUUCUGUUUUUCAAAGCUAACGCAUUAAGUAGACCGCCUGGGGGAGUACGGCCGCAAGGUUAAAACUCAAAUGAAUUGACGGGGGCCCGCACAAGCGGUGGAGCAUGUGGUUUAAUUCGAUGCAACGCGAAGAACCUUACCUACUCUUGACAUCCAGAGAAUUCGCUAGAGAUAGCUUAGUGCCUUCGGGAACUCUGAGACAGGUGCUGCAUGGCUGUCGUCAGCUCGUGUUGUGAAAUGUUGGGUUAAGUCCCGCAACGAGCGCAACCCUUAUCCUUGUUUGCCAGCACGUAAUGGUGGGAACUCCAAGGAGACUGCCGGCGAUAAACCGGAGGAAGGUGGGGACGACGUCAAGUCAUCAUGGCCCUUACGAGUAGGGCUACACACGUGCUACAAUGGCGUAUACAGAGGGCUGCAACCAGCGAUGGUGAGCGAAUCCCAGAAAGUACGUCGUAAUCCGGAUUGGAGUCUGCAACUCGACUC
This 812-nucleotide ribosomal RNA is filed under the name uncultured Pseudoalteromonas kps64f. RNAcentral's name for it is "bacterial SSU rRNA". It matches the Rfam family "Bacterial small subunit ribosomal RNA", at positions 506 to 1318 of the family's 1533-position model. The record is from RNAcentral. Lineage: Bacteria; Pseudomonadati; Pseudomonadota; Gammaproteobacteria; Alteromonadales; Pseudoalteromonadaceae.